Long non-coding RNA from Oncorhynchus tshawytscha (Chinook salmon), 1052 nucleotides. NCBI's taxonomy places the organism in Eukaryota, Metazoa, Chordata, Actinopteri, Salmoniformes, Salmonidae. The record is from Ensembl.
UCAAUAGAAAAAGGCUUAACUUAUAUUUCACUUACUUUUUGCCCUUUGACAUUCACACAAUUUUCUCAUUCAACAGAAUCAAAUCCCGGCUAUCCAUGGGAAGCACCUCCACCCCUCUUCCGAACUCCCCUCCAGUAUUCCAUCAACUCAGUCCUGCCCACACCCCUAUACACUCUGGUCACAUCCACACACCUUCACGUAGCCUCAACCUCGCACAUACACCCUCCAGCAUCCACUCAGACAGAUCCCGCCACACAAUGACAGCACUCACAGGGUCCCCCAAAGGCACAAGCUCUCACAGACUCAGCCAGAUAGACCGGUCCAUGGACACACACAAUCAGCACAACACAUCUACACACACUUCCCAAUGGCCCGUCCGGAACUGGGUCCGCUCAGAGCCCCUCCCUCGACCCAGCUUUGAACCAAAGAACCUGCUCAGUCUGUUCGAUGAGACGACUUCUACGUUGGAAGGACAACCACUGGACUGAAUUGCCAUGUGUAUUAUAUAGUUCUCAGUUUCUGUUUUUAAAAUGCCUGUUUCAAACAAUUUUGUUCCCUUUUAUUAGUUAACAAGUUCUUCCUUCAAUUUGUAAUUGAUUGCAUUAAAAGAAUGGGUCAAGUGAUUAUAUACAGUAUUCCGUUAUGAACUUUUCAUGUCUUUGUAUAUUCACAAUCAACUAUUUUGGUGAUGGCAAGAAAAUGUUUAAUAGCUCAUAUUUACUGCUAUAAUCCAUGACUCAAAGCCAUUUAAAGAGAUGUUGGAAUCUUAUCCUGUCUAUUCAUACUCAAUUGAUUACAUGCGAUCAAUAGAUGGGGGGGGGUUUAUCAUCCCAAAGAUUGACUGAAUAUAAUAUAAUUGCAGUUCACACACGGCCAUAUCUCCAUGUUACAGGACUUGUUUACGGAAGACAAAGGCGGCCACCUGUGCUAAUUAGCAUGCUCUGAACACCUGCGUGUAAGCUUAACCCUUGUGUGGUGUUAAUGUUUUUGUUAGUCACCCAAUGAACCCACGGCAUUAUUGGGUUUUUAAAACCGUACAGCCGUAACAAUUU